Molecule: small RNA, 307 nt
Filed under: Pongo abelii (Sumatran orangutan)
Lineage: Eukaryota; Metazoa; Chordata; Mammalia; Primates; Hominidae
Description: retained intron
Source: RNAcentral
CCUCUGCUCUGUAGUCCAGAUUCUUAGCAAUGUGAUGCAUUCGUUUGUUUUUGUUUUCAGCCUUCAGACAAGGAGAUGUUCAGCCGUUCAGUUACUAGCCUGGCAACAGACGCUCCUGCCAGCAGUGAGCAGAAUGGGGCACUCACCAAUGGGGACAUUCUUUCAGAGGACAGUACUCUGACCUGCAUGCAGCAUUACGAGGAAGUCCAGACAUCGGCUUCGGAUCUGCUGGAUUCCCAGGACAGCACAGGGAAGCCAAAAUGUCAUCAGAGUCGGGAGCUGCCCAGAAUCCCUCCCGAGAGUGCAG